This 223-nucleotide long non-coding RNA is filed under the name Brassica napus (rape). RNAcentral's name for it is "long non-coding RNA (BNAP_LNC000198)". Lineage: Eukaryota; Viridiplantae; Streptophyta; Magnoliopsida; Brassicales; Brassicaceae. The record is from RNAcentral.
GAUCUCCGGCUUGGUUCUACUCUCAGUCUGGUGGUGGAUCUACGGUCUCUUCCGGUUUGUGGGUCGUGUUCCAUUCUUCUACGGGGACUUGGCUGUUCGGUCCUCUUCAGCGUCGAAGUGGUCCUGCCCCUCUUUCUCAGUGGUUAGGUGAGCUUUAGCACACAGGUUGGAUGGUGCUGAGCUUUCACAUGAUCGCGUGGGUCUGACUAGAUGUUAUAUCCGC